Molecule: ribosomal RNA, 253 nt
Filed under: uncultured bacterium
Lineage: Bacteria
Description: partial 16S ribosomal RNA
Rfam family: Bacterial small subunit ribosomal RNA
Source: RNAcentral
UACGAAGGGGGCGAGCGUUAUUCGGAAUUAUUGGGCGUAAAGGGCGCGUAGGUGGUUUGUUAAGUUGAUUGUUAAAUUUCAUGGCCUAACUGUGAGUCUGCAGUCAAUACUGAUAAACUAGAGGGUGAGAGAGAGAAGUGGAAUUCUCGGAGUAGCGGUAAAAUGCGUGGAUCUCGAGAGGAACACCGUUGGCGAAGGCAGCUUCUUGGCUCACUACUGACACUGAAGCGCGAAGGCGUGGGGAGCAAACAGG